GAUGAACGCUGGCGGCGUGCCUAAUACAUGCAAGUCGAGCGAACGGACGAGAAGCUUGCUUCUCUGAUGUUAGCGGCGGACGGGUGAGUAACACGUGGAUAACCUACCUAUAAGACUGGGAUAACUUCGGGAAACCGGAGCUAAUACCGGAUAAUAUUUUGAACCGCAUGGUUCAAAAGUGAAAGACGGUCUUGCUGUCACUUAUAGAUGGAUCCGCGCUGCAUUAGCUAGUUGGUAAGGUAACGGCUUACCAAGGCAACGAUGCGUAGCCGACCUGAGAGGGUGAUCGGCCACACUGGAACUGAGACACGGUCCAGACUCCUACGGGAGGCAGCAGUAGGGAAUCUUCCGCAAUGGGCGAAAGCCUGACGGAGCAACGCCGCGUGAGUGAUGAAGGUCUUCGGAUCGUAAAACUCUGUUAUUAGGGAAGAACAUAUGUGUAAGUAACUGUGCACAUCUUGACGGUACCUAAUCAGAAAGCCGCGGCUAACUACGUGCCAGCAGCCGCGGUAAUACGUAGGUGGCAAGCGUUAUCCGGAAUUAUUGGGCGUAAAGCGCGCGUAGGCGGUUUUUUAAGUCUGAUGUGAAAGCCCACGGCUCAACCGUGGAGGGUCAUUGGAAACUGGAAAACUUGAGUGCAGAAGAGGAAAGUGGAAUUCCAUGUGUAGCGGUGAAAUGCGCAGAGAUAUGGAGGAACACCAGUGGCGAAGGCGACUUUCUGGUCUGUAACUGACGCUGAUGUGCGAAAGCGUGGGGAUCAAACAGGAUUAGAUACCCUGGUAGUCCACGCCGUAAACGAUGAGUGCUAAGUGUUAGGGGGUUUCCGCCCCUUAGUGCUGCAGCUAACGCAUUAAGCACUCCGCCUGGGGAGUACGACCGCAAGGUUGAAACUCAAAGGAAUUGACGGGGACCCGCACAAGCGGUGGAGCAUGUGGUUUAAUUCGAAGCAACGCGAAGAACCUUACCAAAUCUUGACAUCCUUUGACAACUCUAGAGAUAGAGCCUUCCCCUUCGGGGGACAAAGUGACAGGUGGUGCAUGGUUGUCGUCAGCUCGUGUCGUGAGAUGUUGGGUUAAGUCCCGCAACGAGCGCAACCCUUAAGCUUAGUUGCCAUCAUUAAGUUGGGCACUCUAAGUUGACUGCCGGUGACAAACCGGAGGAAGGUGGGGAUGACGUCAAAUCAUCAUGCCCCUUAUGAUUUGGGCUACACACGUGCUACAAUGGACAAUACAAAGGGCAGCGAAACCGCGAGGUCAAGCAAAUCCCAUAAAGUUGUUCUCAGUUCGGAUUGUAGUCUGCAACUCGACUACAUGAAGCUGGAAUCGCUAGUAAUCGUAGAUCAGCAUGCUACGGUGAAUACGUUCCCGGGUCU
This 1372-nucleotide ribosomal RNA is filed under the name uncultured bacterium. RNAcentral describes it as "bacterial SSU rRNA". It matches the Rfam family "Bacterial small subunit ribosomal RNA", at positions 28 to 1381 of the family's 1533-position model. The record is from RNAcentral.